UAAACCAGUGAUGAAUUGCAUGGGGUUUCUGAAUCGAAGGCUCUGAUUAAACUCAUCUGCAACUCUGAGGUCCAU
This 75-nucleotide small nucleolar RNA is filed under the name Chinchilla lanigera (long-tailed chinchilla). Its description in RNAcentral is "Small nucleolar RNA SNORD113/SNORD114 family (ENSCLAG00000019152.1)". It matches the Rfam family "Small nucleolar RNA SNORD113/SNORD114 family". Rfam says of the family: The imprinted human domain at 14q32 contains two clusters of tandemly repeated small nucleolar RNAs named 14q(I) and 14q(II) snoRNAs. These two clusters are named SNORD113 and SNORD114 respectively in the HGNC approved gene symbol nomenclature. The snoRNAs found in both clusters are clearly related and are represented here by a single family. Lineage: Eukaryota; Metazoa; Chordata; Mammalia; Rodentia; Chinchillidae. The record is from Rfam by way of RNAcentral.